UGCCCAAGAGAUCGGGAUAACACCUGGAAACAGAUGCUAAUACCGGAUAACAACAGAUGAUGCCUAUCAACUGUUUAAAAGAUGGUUCUGCUAUCACUCUUGGAUAGACCUGCGGUGCAUUAGCUAGUUGGUAGGGUAACGGCCUACCAAGGCGAUGAUGCAUAGCCGAGUUGAGAGACUGAUCGGCCACAUUGGGACUGAGACACGGCCCAAACUCCUACGGGAGGCAGCAGCA
Molecule: ribosomal RNA, 235 nt
Filed under: uncultured Lactobacillus sp.
Lineage: Bacteria; Bacillati; Bacillota; Bacilli; Lactobacillales; Lactobacillaceae
Description: partial 16S ribosomal RNA
Rfam family: Bacterial small subunit ribosomal RNA
Source: RNAcentral